GUUAAGGUGGCAGAGCCCGGCAUUGCAAAAGUCCUAAACCCUUCCUAUAAAGGUUCAAAUCCUUUCCUUAACU
Molecule: transfer RNA, 73 nt
Filed under: Chaetodon speculum (mirror butterflyfish)
Lineage: Eukaryota; Metazoa; Chordata; Actinopteri; Chaetodontiformes; Chaetodontidae
Description: tRNA-Leu
Rfam family: tRNA
About the family: Transfer RNA (tRNA) molecules are approximately 80 nucleotides in length. Their secondary structure includes four short double-helical elements and three loops (D, anti-codon, and T loops).
Source: RNAcentral